GAUCCUGGCUCAGGACGAACGCUGGCGGCGUGCUUAACACAUGCAAGUCGAACGGAGCGAAUGAAAGCUUGCUUUUAUGAGCUUAGUGGCAAACGGGUGAGUAACACGUAGACAACCUGCCGACAGGAUGGGGACAACAUUCCGAAAGGAAUGCUAAUACCGAAUGAAGUCAGAGGAGGGCAUCCUUCUCUGAUGAAAGAUGGCCUCUGAAUAUGCUAUCACCUGUUG
Molecule: ribosomal RNA, 228 nt
Filed under: uncultured bacterium
Lineage: Bacteria
Description: partial 16S ribosomal RNA
Rfam family: Bacterial small subunit ribosomal RNA
Source: RNAcentral